AUAACAAAAACUAUGUAUCUAAAAAAGCUAAAAUUACCUAUAGCUUGGAACGGAGGGAGUAACAGAUAUAGGCAAAGAUACAAUAAUAUUAUCAGCUGCAUCAUUUCAAUGCAAAAUUUUCUAACAUUCUUUGGAUUCAAAUUGCGGAGAUCAUCUAAAUUUUGCAAACAAAAGAACAAAAUGAUUUACUUUUUCUUUAAUUAUGUUGGAUACUUUGUCGGGGUUGCUUUUGUACAGGUCAUUACUCUCCUCACUUGCAUGUGACAAAUGAUGGCAUAAUUUUGUGCAGGUUGCUUUUGUCGGGGUAAUCACAUGCACAAUAUUUCUUCGUACAAGAUUACACCCUGUUGAUGAGCAGAAUGGGAAUCUUUAUCUGUCUUGUCUGUUUUAUGGACUUGUUCAUAUGAUGUUCAAUGGUUUUACUGAGCUGCCCAUUACUAUUUCACGGCUUCCAGUGUUCUAUAAGCACAGAGACAAUUACUUUCAUCCUGCAUGGGCUUUCUCAAUCCCCAAUUGGAUACUAAGAAUUCCAUAUUCUCUUAUUGAAGCGGUAGUUUGGUCAUGUGUUGUUUACUACACAGUAGGCUUUGCGCCUACUGCUGAUAGGUACCGACUACCUACUCACCUGUAGGCUGAAUUCUACUUUGGUACUUGGAUAUGUCAGAAUAAUACAAAUUUUCUGCAGAUUCUUUCGUUUUAUGCUAUUGUUGUUCUCUGUACAUCAAAUGGCUUUGGGCCUUUUCCGGAUGAUGGGAGCUAUAGCACGAGACAUGACUAUUGCUAAUACUUUUGGAUCAGCUGCCUUAUUGGCAAUUUUUCUCUUAGGAGGGUUCAUUGUUCCUAAAGGUCAGUGUUUAUAUGUUUAUUUCCUGUGAUGUGCUUAAUUCUGCUUGAAACCUUACCUGUCCCUGACAUGAUAGUUAGUACUGAGAAGAGUUAGCAGGUUUAUUUCCCUAAUGAUCAAGAAUGAUUUUUUACUUUCAAUGCGACAUAUUGUGAUUUUUUUUACUACUAUUGUGCAUAAAAGAGGCUAUAAAACCAUGGUGGCAGUGGGCUUAUUGGGUUUCCCCCUUAAUGUAUGGACAACGUGCAAUUUCAGUUAAUGAAUUCUCAGCAUCCAGAUGGUCAAAGGUCUGUUUGAAUGAAUCACCUUUUCUAUCUCCUGGUUUCGACUUUUCAUAGUAUGCUGAAGAAAGGUCCUAAUAGCAAAAUUUAAUGAUAUUAUAAUUAUAAGCAACAAAAAAUUUUAUAUAUUUUCUGCAUGCUGGAACUAUGUAUUGUUCAAUUUUCUCAUUUUGAGUGUCAAACAUAAUAUGGUCCAACUGCAUAUUCUAUUGAGUCUUUCUCUUUUACCAGAAGGAUCAUUUUACAUUCUUUAUAUUUUGGUUGCUAUAUUUUGUUCUGACAUGUUUCAUUACAGGUAUCAGUUGCUGGCAGCAAUAGUACAGUCAGAGCCAAUGUUCUCAUUUCACACAAUCUGCCAACAGAAGAUUACUGGUACUGGAUUGGAGUUGGUGCUUUAUUGGCUUACACCGUCUUGUUCAAUGGUCUAUUUACUCUUGCUUUGGCAUUCCUUAAUCGUAAGUGUAGAAAUGAAAUUUUAAUUCUAAUUUCUAAAAUUUUUCUGCAGUACAAGCUGAUUGGAUUUUGAAACAAAAUUUGUAAUUUUUUUUGAAGCUCUAAGGAAGGCUCAAACGAUGAUCCCAUCUGAUUCUGAGGAAACAAAUGCUGCAGGAAUUGAUAAUGUAUCCAAUGGACAUGUAGUUGCAGGUGAUUUCUCAUUUUUACAUGGGAACACAUGAUACUUGUUUUUUACCUAUAACACAUAUUUUUUCAUAAUGAGAUUAUGGUUGUAUAUUCUCAAUUUAAACAACUGCGAAGUUAAAUAUUACUCCCUCUGUUCAAAGAUACAAGGUGUAUAUUAUAUUUUUUAUAAGUCAGCAUUUGUACAUUUUGACCAACUAUUAAACAAUCUUCAAGAAUGUUUAGCACAGUAAAAUUGUACAAUAGAUUUAUAUUUCAAACUGCUUUCACAUGAUAAGGUCUUGGUAGCUACAUUCAAUUUAUGUGGAAAAAAAUGGUUAAAAGUUUAACUUUGAUGAACCUGUUGAAAUAAAAUAAUUUUUUUGAAUGUGGGGAGUAAUUAUUUAGAGUUAAUGGGUUGUACUAUUUAUGAUUGAAUGGUCUAUUGAUUUUUCAAACCUUCAUUGUACACCCCUUCGUUCCAUAAUGUAAGAGGUUUUAGUUUUGUCAAAAGUCAAACUUCUCUAACUUCUUAUAAAAAAAGCUUCUCUAACUUUGACCAAGUUUAUAGAAAAAGAUGCAAUGAUAUCAGCAAUAUCAAAUUAGUUUCUAUUAAAUACACCAUUAAUGUCUUGAUAGUGCAUUUAUUUUGUAUUGUAGAUGUCAAUAUAUUUUUCUAUAAACUUGCUCAAAGUUAGAGAACUUUGGCUUUGGACGAAACUAAGACCUCUUAUAUUUUAGAACGGAGAGUGUACUUGGAGCCAAGGAGCUUUGGAAUCUGAUUUUAGGAAUAGGCUUUGUGUGUUUUGCUUAGUCGUUAUCUUGGUCAGAUUGAUUCUUAAGGCUGUGGCGCGAUAGUUUUGCAAGGCUCUGGCCUUGUACAAUUUUCUCUUCUACUUCUAUGAAAUGAUAACCAAUUUCUCUUCUGUAUUUGAGAUGUUCAAUUGUUCGCAUGGUAUGUAUAAUUUCAGUGCUUUGGUAGUAACAAUGAACAACCUCUACCCUGAAUUGAAUUGCAGAAAAUAAUGGCAGAAAUUAUGAGUUUAAACGGCAGACUGAAGGCGAACUUAACAAGGGAAUGAUACUACCGAUUCUACCUCUAACAAUGACGUUUUACAAUGUGAACUAUUUUGUUGAUAUGCCCAAGGUUAUUCUUCUUAUACUUUCUAUUCGUUUAUAUAUAUUUAUUAUAGAUGUUCCUCUGUUAAGAUAAUAUUUAAGUAAAUAGGAAAUAAAAGCAAGGGGUGUACCUGAGAAAAGACUACAGUUGCUGUCUGAAGUAAGCGGGGUAUUUAGGCCCAAUGUCCUAACAGCACUGGUUGGCUCAAGUGGUGCUGGAAAGACAACCCUUCUUGAUGUUUUAGCUGGCAGAAAAACAGGCGGAUAUAUCGAAGGUGAUAUGAGGAUCUCUGGACAUAAGAAAGAACAAAGAACCUUUGCCAGGAUAGCUGGAUAUGUUGAGCAAAAUGAUAUCCACUCACCACAAGUGACAGUUGAAGAGUCCUUAUGGUUUUCGUCAAUCUUACGGCUUCCAAAAGAUAUAAGUAGAGAAACAAGACAUGUAUGUUUCAAUACUUGCACAAACUCGUUUUACUCUGGAGUGCAUAGUUGUUUGAGUUGAUGCACACUUCCAAUUUUCCUGCAGGAAUUUGUUGAGGAAGUUAUGGCUUUGGUAGAGCUUGAUCAACUGAGACAUGCAUUAGUAGGGAGACAGGGUUCUACUGGAUUGUCAACAGAGCAAAGGAAACGCCUUACAAUAGCUGUUGAACUAGUUGCAAAUCCUUCAAUUAUUUUCAUGGAUGAACCUACUUCUGGUUUGGAUGCAAGAGCAGCUGCCAUUGUGAUGCGUACUGUUCGAAAUACUGUUGAUACUGGGAGAACUGUUGUUUGCACUAUACACCAGCCGAGUAUUGAUAUCUUUGAAGCCUUUGAUGAGGUAGGUAUACAUUCUUUGUGUUUUUGUAUCUGUUGGCAGUUGCUUACCAUUUUGGUCCCCCUUUGUUGACUGCUCAUCUGAUUACAGCUCCUCCUCCUGAAACGUGGAGGCCGUGUUAUAUAUGGUGGUUCUCUGGGUGUCAAUUCAAUUGAUAUGAUUGGUUAUUUUCAGGUUGCUCUUUUUGUCUCCAUUUGCUUCACAAAGGAUUUUAAACAACAAUUUGUCCUCAUAAAGGUUUAAGUUACCCAGAUAAUGUUAAAUAACGGUGUUUCCUGUAUUAAUAAUACUUCGCCAGUACCGUAAUUUAAAAGUAUACCAGUUAAAUCAUUUGUCUUUCAGUGUACUAAAAAUUUCUUACAUAGUGAUGAAAUGUAUAGACUAAAAUCUAGGUCUAGGUCAUCUUGGAAUUAUUUGCUACCGUACUGGCAUAUUUAUGCUCAGGCAGUAAGACACCAUUGCAACUGACAACUGAGCACGCACAGAAGCCAUGCUAACUGUUGGUAUCAGUACAUCCUAGAGAUAUAGAUUAUCUGAAGUAGCCUAGGAAUAAGGGACUGGUUGUUACCCUCAAGAUUAUAUAAUCUCGUAUAAUCUCAUAUAAUCUGACAUGGACAACGAACACCACAGAUAUUCUUCAGAUUUAAAUAAUCUAUCUAUACCCCCAGAUUAUCAUAAUCCCAUAAGCUGUCCAAGGUAUGCUUAUUUCAAAUUAUAUAAUCUAGCAUAUAUAAGCUGGAUUAUAUAAUCUGAGCAGGAAACAAACAGGGCCAACGACUAUAACUUAGGUAAUCAGAUAACCAGUUCAGAAUGUUGGCUUACAUUGCACUGCAUGACUUUUUUUUUAAAAGGAUUUAUAGUCUUUUUUGUUAGGUGCUGGACUCUUUGAAGAGAGAGAGAAAAAAAACUAGGUGAACCUAGGAGGAACUAGAUGGAUUCAUAUAAGAAAAAAUAGGCACCCAUAUUCACCUCAAGAAGGACUCGAACUUAGGUGGUCUUGGCGUACAACACCCAAUUAAGCUAGGCUCAGUUAACAUCUAUAGAAAGAUAGGGAUUAGUUAUUUCGAUAUUGCAAAUAGAUGAAUUAAUUGUUCUUGUAUCUUUCAAGUUCGUCUCUCUAUAGACGAAUUCCUCCCCACGUACUACCCAUCAUAGAUCAUCUUUCUCUGCCGAGGUUUUAUCACAUUACAAAGAAAGAUUAGUUGCAUCAUUGACUUCAAGAUUUUUAGCACUGAUAUACAGCCCCUUUGAAGCAGUUAACACCAAUUGUUGAGGGAAGCAUCUCACAUAUAUGGUAUCUAGUGUGUGUAAAUAUGCAUAACUUUUUAUAUUGUCUCAUACAAAUUAAUGUUUCUGGUUAAAUACUUAGCCACAUAGAAACGUGUGCUGAAAACUUCAGGUAAUAAAAGUUAGUGCCCUUAUACAUAAUCAAUUUUUGAAAGAAAAAAAAUUCCACGAACAUGUGAUUGAAAGCAAAUAAAAUCUUUAUGUUUGAACUUGUUUGCAUCCGCUUUUUCUUCACACUUAUAUAAUCAUAAGAUCAUAAUGUGUUAAAUAUUGUCAACACAGUCCAUUCCCGGGGUUCCUCGUAUCCCUGAAGGCUACAAUCCAGCAACCUGGAUGCUUGAGGUCAGCACACAGGCAUGUGAAGAGAGCCUUGGUUUAGAUUUUGCAACAUUGUACAAGAACUCAGAUCAGUUCAGGUGAUUCGUACUGGACUUCAAAUAAUGCUCCUGUUGUGUUUUCUCUUACCUAACUGGUUUGCUUUCAAAUAAUUUUUCGUAAAUGCAUACAAAAUUUGUGCAACUUUUCAGAACUAGUUUAACAAACUUGUCCACUAUAAUUUAGGAAUGUGGAAGGGAUAAUUGAAGCAUUAAGUGCUCCAGCUGAUGGCACGAAACCUUUGGAAUUCUCAUCGGAGUUUUCACAGAACUUUCUCACUCAGUUCAAAGCAUGCUUGCGUAAGCAAAGCCUUAUUUACUGGAGAAGUCCAGAGUACAAUGUUGUGCGGUUAUUUUUCACGGCCAUUGCUGCUGUCAUAUUUGGAUCAAUAUUUUGGAACGUUGGAAUGAAAAGGUAUAUCUUUCUCUUAGGCCUAUUCCAUUUUUCUGUUCAUUCUUCAAAUUAACAUUUUCGAAAUGUAUAUAUGUGGUUGGUUCAUAAAUCAUAAUUUUUACGAUGCAAUGGCCCAAAAAUACUAGUGUAUUCAGAAAACUGAACAAACUGUUUCAUUGUUAUGAAAAGUAUCAGGUAUACAACAAGCAUUGCAACUUUGCCUUAUUCAUGGCCAGUGUUAUUUAUGGCCCCAUACCAAAUAAUUUUCCCUUCCAUGUGUGUCUCAGACUGUAUAACAUCUUAGCAGCCAUAAUGUCUGCCGAGGCCAUAAAGGGAUGCCAUAGCCAAUAUAUUUCUCAUGGCUGUCAUACAAUAUAGGAGUUAAGUAAAGUAAGAUGGGAUGUGUAUGGGUAUCUACUACUCCAUCUGAUAUCAAUAUACUUCCAUGCCCAGCUUAUAACUUGAAAUAAAAACCAUGAAUUUUCUUUCUUGAGCCUCUGUUCUUUCUUUGUGUUUAGUUGUAUCAUGUGCUAAAGUUCUACUUAUUAACUUGGUUUCUCUCCAACCAUCCAUGUUGAAUAAAUAAAUUAAGUGUUGGUUUGCGGGAAUUUCUUUGGUGUGUUGCUCUACAGAGCACCCACACUUCUCCAAUAUGCAGGAAAGCCCUUUACAUUUGUUUUAUUUACACCAACACUCCCCGUCAAGAUGGGCUAAAUAUAUUCAAUAUACCCAUCUUGUUACAUGCCAACUCAUUAUCCUUAGGACCUAGACCUUUUGUGAGACUAUCAGCUAAUUGAUCACGAGACUUAAUAACAUACUCUAGCUUCAAAGCCCCAAUAUUAAUCUUCUCCUUGAUGAAGGACCUGUUGAUCUCCACAUGCUUCAUGCGAUCGAACUGAACCGGAUUAUUUGCUAUAUUGAUCGCUGCUACAUUAUCACAAUGAAGCAACAUAGUCUCAUUCUUCAACACCCGAAGCUCCUUCACAAGGAGCCACGUCAUCUCACAUGGAGCCAAUGCCAUUGCUCUAUGUUCGGCUUCUGCAGUAGACCAAGACACCACAGCUUGCUUCUUGCUCCUCCACGAAACAAGAUUUCCACCCACAAACACACAAUAUCCAGAUGUAGAUCUCCUAUCAUCUCUGCUACUUGCCCAAUCAGCAUCACAAUAACCUUCUAGAUUCAGGUGUUGGUUUUCCCUAAACCACAACCCCUUACCAGGGGUUCCCUUCUAAUAUCUUAGGAUUUGAUAAACCGCCUCCAUUUGCCCAGUACUAGGAUCAUGCAUAUACCUGCUCACCACACUCACUGCAUAAGAAAUUUCAGGUCUUGUAUGGCAAAGGUAUAUCAAACGACCAACCAACCUCUGAUAUCUUUCCCAAUCCACAGGAUCACCCAACUCAGCACACAUUUGGUGAUUCUUAUCAAUGGGUGAGCCACAUGGACAACACCCAAGCAUUCCCGUCUCCGCCAACAGAUCAAGGACAUACUUCCUUUGGGAGAGAAUAAUCCCUUUUGAUGAUCUGGCAAUCUCAAUCCCAAGAAAGUAUCGAAGUGGUCCAAGAUCCUUUACCUCAAAGGCCUUACCUAACCAUUCUAGAUGGCAUUCAGUUGAUGAGGCAUGUGGCUGCCAUCACUGCCUCACUCCACAAAUAUUUAGGUACAUUCAUGUGAAACAUGAGAGACCUUGCUACCUCCAACAGAUGUCGAUUUUUUCUCUCAGCUACACCAUUCUGAGGUGGAGUCCCAGGACAAGUGGUCUGAUGAAUAAUUGCUUAGUCUGUAUAUGAUCUGAGUCCCAUUAUCAGUAUGGAUGAUGCGGACCUUUGCAUUAAACUGAUUAGCAACCAACUUAUGAAAGUUCUGAAAGCACCGAAGCACCUCAUUCUUAUGCUUAAGCAUAUAGAUCCAGGUCAUCCGUAUAUAACAAUCAAUAAAGGUAACAAACCACUUGACACCACUCACAUAGGUGACCGAACAAGGACCCCAAACAUCUAAAUUAGAAUAAACGGUUCACAACUGUGAAGACCAAUACUAGGAUAGGUGGAUCUAGUGUGCUUGCCAAGUUCACAUGCAUCACAUACAAGUUUCCUUUUGUCCACUCCACUAAACAUAGCUGGAUAUUGCCGAUUUAAGCUUUCAAAAGAUACAUGUCCCAACCGACAGUGGAGUAGCAAAAUUGCCAUCACAUCUCCUUUUGCAGCUGCUGCAAAUGCUAACUCCUCAUGAUUGACGAACCACAACCCGUUACUCCUAACUCCAGUCCCAACUCUUCUCCUAGUCCCCCUCUCCUGAAAAGUACAAGAUGUUUCAUCAAAUGUUGUACACUUGAAUUGAUCCAUGAUUGAACUAUCAGAGAGAAGAUUGAUAGGAAAAGAUGGGACAUGCAGGACUGAAGAUAGGCUAAGAGAAGGUGUGCACUCUACGUAUCCUACACCAUGGAUAAGUUGGGAUGUGCCAUCAGCAAAUUGAACGGACUUAGAAUGAGUAUAUGGACUAUGUUUUUAAAGAAUUACACAUGCCCGUAACAUGCUUGGAUGCUCCUGCAAGUGCCAGUGCCUGAGUACCUUUGCCCAUGUGGGCGUAGUUGGCAAAGUUGCCGAAGUUGUUGGAGGUCGAAGUAACAGGAUCAAGUGAGACAUUGGUGGAACUUUAAGGAGCUCUGCCUUUCUGCCAUUGCUCCCAUUGUUUGACUUGCUCUCCCGUCAGAGUGAUAGACAGAGUCUCCUCAGUGGCCGCCACAUUGGCCCUAGGGCCAACACGGCCUCCACUGUGGCCUCCAUCACAGCUAUCACGGCCUCCUACAUAGCUCCCACGUGGGAGGAGUACUCCCACGACUCUACGGGUUCCACCUCGACCACCACUACCAGUUGCUGCCUUCAUUGCAGCCUCUUCUUCCUUCCUUUUCGCUUCCAUCUCUUCUGGACUCAUUUCUACCACCACCUGUUGCAUAGACACACACGAACCAGGCUUCCUUCCCCCUUCUUUCUUCUUCAAGCAACAACAAUCUCACCUUGGGUAUUGGCCGUAGCCCUUCUACACACAAAAACUCAAUCAGCAGCUCCUUUCAGCAGGCAGGCAAGCAGCCGUAACUUUCUUCACACAAAACUCAAGCAGCAGCUCCAGCACAAAUCAAGCAGCAGCUCCUCCAGAUGCAAAUCAAGCAGCAGCUCCACUCAGCCACACGCCCAGGCACAAGCACCUGCACGCGCCGCUCCCUUGUGGCCCCACGCUCGCUUGCAGCUCGUGCGCGCAGCUUCACCCAUGUUCCCUCGCGCCCUUGCCGGCGACCGCCGGGCGCGACCUCACACACUGGCCUCGCAAGCUCCGGCGACCCUAACCCCUCUGUAUACCAUGUUGGUUUGGGGGAAUUUCUCUGGUGUGUUGCUCUACAUAUCACCCACACUCUUAUAUUUCUCCAAUAUGCAAGAAAGCCCUUUACAUUUGUUCUAUUUACACCAACAUUAAGCCUUGACAAAUUUAGCGAAAAACAAAUACGGUGGAGUCUACUACAACAACAACAACAAAAACAACAACUUAGCCUUUUGUCCCAAGCAAGUUGGGGUAGGCUAGAGAUGAAACCCACGGAAAACAAGAAUAAGAAACACAAAAAGGGUACAAGCCAAAGGAAGAGUUAGGGAUUAAACAAAAAGAAACAAAGGUCACGGUUCAGUUAAUUGCUAAUCUCCAAGCCUCCUAUCCAUAGCUAAUUCCUUAGCGAUAUUCCACUCCUUAAGGUCUCUCUUGACCGUCUCGUCCCAAGUUAGUCUAGAUCUACCUCUACCUCUCCUUACAUUAUCGCCCCGCUUUAAAACUCCACUACGCACCGGCGCCUCGGGAGGCCUCCGUUGUACAUGUCCAAACCAUCUCAACCGAUGUUGAACCAACUUCUCCUCGAUAGGUGCCACCCCGACCCUAUCUCGAAUCUCUUCGUUCCGGACUCUAUCCCUUCUUGUAUGCCCGCAGAACCAACGCAGCAUACGCAUCUCUGCUACACUCAGUUGCUGGACAUGUCGCUUUUUUGCUGGGCGAAUCGCCGUCCUAUAGAACUUACCUUUUAGCCUCUGUGGCACCUUCUUGUCACAGAGGACGCCAGAAGCCUGCUGCCACUUCAACCAACCGGCUGAAAUUCUAUGCCUAACACUCCUUGAAAUCCUACAAUGACAUCAUGUAAAUAAAAAUGUUCGAUUAGCUAUGUGAUAAGACAUACCUACAUUUUGUGGUUUAUUUUAUUUGAUCCAAAAUGUAAGUCGUUGAAGGUUGUCAAAAUUUGUUUAGUUUAACCAUAAUAAGUGUAUAAAGGAUCAAUAAACGGGCAUAAGGUCAGUGUUACUAUAUCCAUCAUGACAACUAUGUUUCAUAAUAUAUAUAACUCUUUUUAUUUAAUAAUUUUUAAUUUAUUGAAAUCACUAUUGGAUGUGUCACCUUUGAGGCCACGCCAAGGCCCUAAAUAACUUAUAUUCAGGUGAAGUAUCUCUUAAUUGCUUCAAGUUUGAUUAACGAAGAGUUGAGAGGAUGUUGGAAUGGGUUGGGCAUUGGAAAUGUGAACUCAAGAUUUGUGUGUUAGUUAAGAAUGUCAACUCUAUUUCCUGCUUUUGAAAUGUAUCCUAGUCUAUUUUACAAAUGGUUCAUAUGCUAAUGCCAAUAAUUAUGCAGAGAAACAACAGAAGAUUUGAUGCUUGUCAUGGGAGCUCUUUAUGCGGCAUGCCUGUUUCUUGGUGUAAAUAAUGCAUCAUCUGUGCAGCCUGUGGUGUCCACUGAGAGGACAGUCUACUACAGGGAACGGGCUGCUAGAAUGUACUCAUCGUUCCCGUAUGCAGCUGCUCAGGUUCGUUGGCUUUUGCUCAUGUCAAUUUUGGUUGUCCCUAUAGAUCCCAGUGUCUAACAAUGCUUGAAAUCAACAGGGUCUUGUAGAGAUUCCUUACAUUGCAGUUCAGACACUUAUAUUUGGCCUCAUCACUUACUUCAUGAUCAAUUAUGAGAGGAACAUAGGCAAGUUACUUGUCAUCCAGGAAAACCAUUCUUCAGUGAAGGACUUCAUGUGAUUUUGCUUCCUGCGUGUUUUCUGUACUGUUUGUAACCUAAUAAAGUCAAACCUUUAAUUGCAGGAAAAUUGCUUUUAUACCUUGUUUUCAUGUUCCUUACUUUCACCUACUUCACUUUCUACGGAAUGGUGGCAGUAGGCUUGACCCCAACCCAACAAAUGGCAGCAGUAGUAUCGUCAGCGUUUUACUCCUUGUGGAAUCUUCUCUCUGGGUUCCUCAUCCCCCAAUCUGUAAGUUACUGAAGUAUUAACAUCAUCAUGCUUUGAAUUGUUAUUUAAGCUUUUAAACUAUUAAAUCUGACUCAAUAAAUUUCUGCAUUCCUAAGAGGUUGCUUUUUAACUUUGUACACACUAAGAAUUUGUUUGUAGAAUAAAAUCUAAGAUUUCUGACCCCACAAACACUGGUUGUGUUGAAAGUUAAUAGUUUAAAAUCUUAACCUACCGCCAUAGGUAACCUAUUUUUUCAAUGUUAGUUUGUAUGGUGUAUCCAUCUUCAUCGGUCAAUGCAGUAAAUAAGAGAAUCCUUCAGUUCAAUGUUUAUCAGUUCCUCUUUUCUAUUGACAUUCAUGCAGAGAAUCCCAUGUUGGUGGAUCUGGUUCUAUUACAUCUGCCCAGUGGCAUGGACCCUGAGAGGUAUCAUUACGUCGCAGUUGGGCGAUGUGCAAACAAGGAUAGUUGGCCCUGGUUUCGAUGGGACUGUGCAGGAAUUCCUGGAGGAAAGCUUGGGAUUCAAACAGGGGAUGGCUGGUGCCACAGUUGCAGUGCUCGCUUGCUUCUCUCUUUUCUUCUUUGCCAUAUAUGCGAUUUCCAUCAAGGUUAUAAACUUCCAGAGAAGAUAAAUCAGCAUAUAUUUAUGCAUUUGCAACUUAGGCGUCCUGCAUCACUUGGUGGUGCCAACACUAUAUGAAGCACCCACGUUAUAACACGUUUUGCAAGGGUCAGAGAGGAUUGAAAACAGCCAACACUUGAAACUGUAUUGUUUGGUAUAUUCUUGUCAUAAGCUGCACUAUUUGUAUAUACUGCACUAAAUCCUCUAUCUGUGCACUUAGCAACGAACACAAUAACUAAAGGGUGUUUGAAUCCAUAUGCUAGUGUCUUAAAAUUCUAAAGUUUAGCACUAUCGUGCUGAUAGGGUGGGCUAACUUCAGUCAAAAUUUAAAUACUUUAGCUAAAAGUAUAAGUACAAGUGGUAAUAUAGCUAAAGAAUAAAAUAGAUGCUAAAAUUUAUUACUCAAUUUAGCUCAUCCAAACAGACUCUUAUUCUUCAUAAUAAAAACUAUAUUUAUAUAUUGUGGCUGGUUGGACCAAGUCACAACUGUAACAUGCUUUGCGCGACGCACUUCCUGCAUACACGAAUACACGCAUACACGCACUUCCUGCAACACGCUUUGCACGACGCACUUCUUGCAUAGAGUACCUCCUGUCACUGCUGGUAUCCACAACAAUACUCUACUUUACAGCCAAUCUCUACUACCGGUCUCCUCACAGCCAAUCUCUACAAGUGUGUCGACAAGACAAAACUAAAGGUAUGUUUGGUUUGCAAGACUAAAUUUUAGUCCCGUUUAGUCCUGUCGUAUCGGAUGUUUGGAUAAUUAAAAGUAUUAAAUAUAGUUUAAUUAAAAAUUUAAUUGCACAAAUGGAGGUUAAUUCACGAGGCAGAUCCAUUAAACAUAAUUAGCCCAUGAUUUGACUGAAUUAGCAUCAGUUUAUGCAAUUAGUUUUAUAAUUAGUUUUAUUGUUGGUUCUAUUUAAUACCUCUAUUUGGUAUGCAAAAAAUUAGUCCUAAAUCCCAACGUCCCUAAAGCAAAAACUAGUAGAAUACGUCGUGCUGCACAUGCACCGACGCAGCAAUGCAAGGUGACACUGUACGCUACCCAACAUCGACCAACAGCAGUCGUCGUCAUCGAUCAGUGGGUGAAGGUGUAGAAGACGGUGCCGACGUAGACGGCAAGAGCGGUGGUGACGAGCCCCACGAGCCCCGCGGCGGCCUUGGCGGCGGCGCGGUUGCUGGCGCAGCCCAGCGUGCCGAGCUGGAUCUGCACGACCAUCACCACGCCAUCAGGAACACGCACCCGACCACGGACCCCACGCGCGGAGGCCAGCAUCCCGAGCCGGAGCACGCGGGCGUCGAUGUGGGCACGUAUCGUCGUGCGGGUCCUUGGAAUUGAUGAGGUUCAGCGCCAGCUUCAGGCCCUGCGCCACCAGGCUGGAGAAGAGGAAGGACAAGAAGGCCACCACCUCCAGCACCAGCAGGGACCGGGCCAUCCCGGGCCCGGCGUCGCAGGACGGGUCGCCGGCGAGGCUCUGCAGCUGCCCCGGGGUCGCCAGGGAGCCCCACGAACACGGCCACCGUGAAGAGCGAGUUCACGUUCACCACGCCGUCCAGCGCCGUCACGUGCACGCUCGUAGUGUUCGCCGACAGCGCCGCCGGGAACUUCCACUCGUAACCGUGGUGGUGGUGGCCGCUGCCGCCAUUGCCGUUGCUGUGCUCAUCAGAUCUGAGAUAGAGACAACAAAAUAUUGAGUUCUUGAUCCAUGAGCUGCCGGACGGGAGAAUGGGGAAGGGGAGCACAAGGUUUGGGGAAAAACUAGAAAACUUGGGGCGCGCUAGGUUGUGCUGCCUAGCGGAGCCACCUGGCAAUGUAUGUAUAUUAUUUAUACUAAGUUCUGCUUUACUACAGCGAUAAAGUAACUUUUGCAACCUUCGUACUCAUAUUGUUUUUAAACUAAGUUGUAGAAAAGUCGGAAGUUGUGUUUGGCCACUUCUACCCCGCCGAUCCGGUGCGGAGGAGGAGUAGGUCGAUGGUGUCCUUAAGCAAAACUUCAUUAGUUUAUCAUGAUGAUCAAGUUAUUCGCUGCGCAAUCGUUUCUUUUGGGAUAUCAUGUUAAAUCCCUUUUAAUGCUAAUUGUGAGCCCAAGGCUUGUAAAUUGUUGUUGAAUCUUUAAUUUCAGAUUUGAAUGCUCCUAUGUUGAACUUGUAAUGUUUAAUUGUCGAACCUUUGAAAUGCUUAAAAUAGCUUUUUGUGGUUCGUCGGCAAUAUAUGCAUGCUCUCGGAUGAGUGUGUGUCAUCUUAAUGAUAAUGACCGGCGGUUCGCCUAAAAUGGUAUCAAAUUGGACGGUUCUUACAACGGAUAUCAGAGCCGAGGUUCCAUGAAGUGGACUUGAAAUUUUCUUAGUGGGUUGAGAGCGAAAUAAAAAUUGAGUACUUGCACUAAUAUUUAUUUCUUGCUAAAAGUUGAAUCUAAGGAUUAAUUGCUAACCUUCUUCCUUUGUCUUAGAGCUAUUUUCUCUCUAUUGCUUCAUUUGAUUAAUUAAAUGUGCUUAACCCCUCUUGUCUUCACAAAUAGAUGGCUUUGAUCGUGGUGACCCGCACUCCGGAGACGAUUGGAUUCCUGGUGCUCCUCAACGAGAUGUUGAGGCGGACGCACUACACCUUCCGGCCUGAGUAUGCGGUCUAUGCUCAUGGCUAUGGAGUCGGCAGGGUCGACUACAUCGCAACUCUUCACCUUGAAGCAAGGAUGGUGGUUGGAUUGGAGGCCUACGACUUCCAAGCAAGAGGUACCUCUCCGGAGAUGGCCAUCCAAGAGGUGGCACGGGACACUUGACUCCACUAUGAGCACCGGGAGCUAUGGGAGGAUCCCUUCACUUACCUUCCGACGAAGGGACCCGAGGAGCCCUUUUGGACGUUACGUCUCACCACCGGUGGGGCCAUUCACUUUGGAGAGGUGCAUGGCGGAAACCACUUCCGACUAUGAGUGGGCACAUCGGAGCUUGCUUUGGGAGUUGGAGGAGACAAGAAGGCACCUUUACAAUCUUCAAAUUCGCGUGGAGCUAUACACAAGGAUGAGAAGGUGCUAAGGAAGUUGAUGAGUUGCCCAAUAGGAAGCGCCUCCUUCUCAUCACUUUCCGCACAUGGUGGGUGCAUGGGCCGAGGCAAGGCAAACGUACAAUCCCAUUUCGAUGGGGUUGCACAUGCGCCGGUUCCAUGUUAAGUCCACCGCUCGUGAGUCUCUUUUGGGGGCUCCGGAGCCUUUCGACCCUUGAGUUAUCUACCGUUUUGUGAGAGGGAGAGUUGCCCAUUAUCUCUAAGUGCUAGUAGGAGGGUCGUAGCACUUCGGGUAAUGUGGUUGUAUCGGGGGAAGUAAGCGUUAAGAUGUUAAAACGUGCCCAUUGUGUGUUGGUUAACCUUGUUGAAUGCUUGUGGGUUAAUUUAAAUCGGUCUCAUUGUUAUCGUUAUGCUUGAUGUUCCUAGUUGUAGUUUUAUUUGUGCAAGUUAAUCUUGUUUUAUUUCUUGCAUGCUUGCUGAAUUUUUUCUUUAUUGUGGCUUAUUAUUCUGUGAAAGAGGAGAUGAAAGAUUUGUUCUUGUUUGUUUUGUAAUUAGAACAAACAUAAACUAAUUGGAUAGAAAAGGAGCGGAAAAAGAUUUAGACUCCCUUUCUUUCCAAGGUUUGUAUUAUGCAACACCUUGUUCUGACCAUAUUGCACUAUGUAUCAUCAUUUGAUAAACCGAGAAAUGCUUUUUUUCUCUAAUUCAAGUAGAAAUACAAAUGGAAAAAUUCGAAGGGUAUUCAGAAAAAUAGAAAUCUCGUCAACAAUACUUCGUCUACCCACUUCUCUUUUAGGAAUAUAUUUAUGCAUUUGCCCAUGAUUAUGGAUUAAAUGGUGCCGAGCCUGUGGAAAUUUUUGGUUGUAAUAACAAGAAAUUUAGUUCACUACUUGCGACACGUUUAAUUUUUCGAACCUAACCAAGAUCGGUUGUUGGAUCACAGCAAUUAUUUUUAUUUAGAGUUUUAUUCUCAGAUUCUAUCUGAGGGGUUUGCGAUCAUUGUAGAAAUCCCACUUUCGCUAGGGCAACCAUCUUGUUUGGAAGACAAAUUUUUACAUUUACAUUAUCUAUCACAUAUCCUAUCCAUUUAGAAAUCCUGGUUCAACUCCUUGAAUACCGGAUUCAAGAUGUUCCAUCUUUGCAUUUAUUGCGAUUCUUUCUCAACUAUUAUUCGAAUUGGAAUAGUCUUAUUACUUCAAUGAAAUCUUAUUUUCUUUUUAAAAAAGAAAAUAAAAGACUAUUUCGAUUCCUAUAUAACUCUUAUGUAUCAGAAUAUGAAUUUUUCUUAUUAUUUCUUCGUAAACAAUCUUCUUGCUUACGAUUAACAUCUUCUGGAACCUUUCUGGAACGAGUCCACUUUUCUGGGAAGAUGGAACAUUUUUGGGUAAUUUCUGAAAACCAUAUGGUUCUUUAUGGAUCCUCUUAUACAUUAUGUUCGAUAUCAAGGAAAGCCAAUUCUUGCAUCAAAAGGAACUCUUCUUUUGAAGAAGAAAUGGAAAUCUUACCUUGUCAAUUUCUCGCAAUAUUUUUUAUCUUUUUGGACUCAACCACAAAGGAUUCGCCUAAACCAAUUAACAAACUCUUGCUUCGAUUUCUUGGGGUACCUUCCAAGUGUACCAAUAAAUACUUUGUUAGUAAGGAAUCAAAUGCUGGAGAAUUCUUUUCUAAUAGAUACUCGAAUGAAAAAAUUCGAUACCAUAGUCCCUGCUACUUCCCUCGUUGGAUCCUUAUCAAAAGCUCAAUUUCGUACUGGAUUAGGGCAUCCUAUUAGUAAACCCAUUUGGACCGAUUUAUCAGAUUGGGAUAUUCUUAAUCAUUUUGGUCGGAUAUGUAGAAAUCUUUUUCAUUAUCAUAGUGGAUAUUCGAAAAAACGGAUUUUGUAUCGACUAAAAUAUAUACUUCGACUUUCAUGUGCUAGAACUUUAGCUCGUAAACAUAAAAGUACGGUACGAACUUUUAUGCAACGAUUGGGUUUGGUAUUUUUAGAAGAAUUUUUUAUGGAAGAAGAGCAAGUUUUUUGUUUGAUGUUCACCAAAACAACUCGCUUUCCUUUCAAUGUCACACAGUGAGCGUAUUUGGUAUUUGGAUAUUAUCUGUAUCAAUGACCUGGUGAAUCCUCUUACUCUUAAUUAAUUAUUAGACAAAACUCGUAAACUAGAAAAGAUCGAUAUCAAGAUAAAACUUGCACAUUUUCCAUUCUGAAAUGUUCCAUAGUAGGUGAAUCAAUUUACUAAUUAAAUAAAAAAAUUAGUGGUCUUCCUCUUCGCAAUAGAAAUUGGCUAUUUCUACAUAGGGAAAGUCGUGUGCAAUGAAAAAUGCAAGCACGAUUUGGGGAGGGUUUUUUUAUUGUAACAAGGAAGAAUUAUCUACUCCAUCCGACUAGUUCCAGGUUCGAGUCUCGGGCAACCCAUAUGCAAAAUAGAAAAGAGUAAUCUGAGUUUUGAAUUUUUACUCACUUCAUUUCCAAAAUUUUGGUAAAUGGAGUUAUAUGGAAAUCCAAUCGUUGAGGCCGGUUUGGUUGACAUUGGUAUAUAGGCUAUGAUGUACUGGAAAAUACAAUGUUUUUAUUAUUUGACCAACCAUCAGGAGAAGCAAAUACAAGGGAUACACUAAUUACUAAGACUGAGGAAGUCGCAAUUAAUGCAAAAACAGCUAAUUGGGAAGCAAUAGUCAUAUUUAAAAUCCUCCAAACUACCUUCAAAUAAAGUUGACUACAUAUUUCUAUUUGAUCCCUCACUUAAUCAAAAUUGUACGAAAAUACAAGAAGUAGGAGGGGUUUAAUCAUGAAUCCAUUGAUUCUUCUCUUUAAAACUUUUUCCUUACCGCUUUUAUUUGGAUAUAGAGUUGAGGGGAUUUAGCCUUUAUUUCACAAACGGAUAUAGCGGUUUCUGUAUCCGUGUAUACAGUAUACAGAGAUAUAUCGAAAGUAGACUUGCAUCUGAGAUGUUUCUAGGAGCUAGUAGAUCAUUUCAUAUAGCUAUGUUCUAUUUGUAGGAAUAAAAUAGGGAUUGGGCUGUGGAGAGAUGGCUGAGUGGUUGAUAGCCUCGGUCUUGAAAACCGGUAUAGUUCUAGGAACUAUCGAGGGUUCGAAUCCCUCUCUCUCCUUUUGUUUAUUGAAUACAUUUGUUUCUUUUUAUGGUUUUUUUUUGUUCUGCCCCCUUAUAUCAUUCUUUCAUAAAAAAAGCAUGAAUGGCUCGGCUAGAUGGAAUAACCGAGCCAGAAUAGAAAAAAAGUGGAACAGGUAGAAAUAAAAAAAUCUUAGUUAAGAGGGGUCAUUUAAAGAACAGGUUCCAAAUCACGAUCAAUUCCCUUUUCAAAGCCUGCUGCAGCAGCUCGGGCUCUUCCUGCAUGCCACAAAUGGCCCACAAAAAAGAAGAAUCCUGGAACAAAAUGGGAAGUCGCUAACCAACUUCUAGGAGAGACAUAAUUAACUGCAUUGAUCUCGGUAGCUACGCCACCCACGGAAUUUAAAGAGCCUAAAGGAGCAUGGGUCAUAUAUUCUGCCGAACGUCGUUCUUGCCAAGGUUGGAUGUCUUUUUUCAACCUACUCAAGUCCAAACUGUUAGGGCCCCUUAGAGGUUCUAACCACGGAGCACGAAGGUCCCAAAAACGCAUAGUUUCCCCUCCAAAAAUAACCUCUCCUGUUGGGGAACGCAUUAGAUAUUUACCUAAACCUGUCGGUCCUUGGGCAGACCCUACAUUAGCUCCAAGACGCUGGUCUCUAACUAGAAAAGUAAAUGCUUGAGCUUGAGAAGCUUCUGGCCCAGUGGGUCCGUAAAACUCACUUGGAUAAGUGGUAUUAUUGAACCAGACAAAACAACAAGCGAUAAAACCAAAAACAGAUAAAGCACCUAAACUAUAAGACAAGUAAGCUUCGCCAGACCAUACAAACGCACGGCGAGCCCAUGCAAAGGGCUUGGUUAAGAUAUGCCAAAUUCCGCCAAGUACACAAAUGGAACCCAACCAUACAUGUCCCCCAAUUAUAUCUUCUAAAUCAUCCACACUAACAAUCCAUCCUUCUCCCCCAAAAGGGGAUUUUAGUAAAUAACCAAAUAUAACACCGGGGCUAAGGGUCAAAUUGGUAAUUUUUCUUACAUCCCCCCGGGGGCCCAGGUAUCAUAUACGCCGCCAAAAUAAAGAGCCUUGAGUACUAGAAGAAAAGCACCUAGACCUAACAAAAUUAAGUGAAUACCCAAAAUUGUAGUCAUUUUAUUUCUAUCUUUCCAUACAUAACCAAAGAAUGGAAAAGAUUCUUCAAGAGUCUCGGGUCCCAGAAGCACGUGAUAAAUGCCACCGAAGCCUAAGACUGCGGAGGAAAUUAGGUGAAGUACUCCAGAUACAAAGUAAGGAAAAGUAUCUAGAACUUCUCCCCCCGGCCCUACUGCCCAACCCAGAGUAGCUAAGUGCGGAAGUAAAAUCAACCCUUGUUCAUACGGGCUUUUCUGGUACGAAAUGGGCCACUUCAAAUAGGUUCAUUGCUCCGGCCCAGAAUACGAUUAAUCCGGCAUGGGCUACAUGAGCUCCAAGUAGUUUACUGGACAAAUUGAUAAGUCUGGCAUUCCCUGCCCACCAAGCAAAGCCGGUGGUUUCCUGGUCACGACCAGCUAAAAUGAAAGUUCCAUUAAAGAGCGUUUCCACGUGCUAGAACCUCCUCAGGGAAUAUAAGAUUUUCAUGAGGCUGAUACUGAAGCUGCCAUCCACGCAUGAAUACCCUCGUUUAAAAGAAUAGUUUUGGUGUAGAAAGUCUCAAAUUCAGGAUCUUCCGCUGCACGGAUUUCCUGGGAAAUGAAGUCAUAGGCACAUAGGUUUAGAGCCAGGCCAACUACGCCAAUAGCACUCAUCCAUAAACCGGUGACGGGUACAAAUAGCAUAAAGAAAUGUAACCAACGUUUAUUGGAAAAAGCAACACCAAAGAUUUGGGACCAAAAGCGGUUAGCAGUGACCAUUGAAUAAGUUUCUUCAGCUUGAGUUGAGUUAAAAGCGCGGAAGGUAUUUGCACCAUCACCAUCUUCGAAUAGAGUGUUUUCUACGGUAGCCCCAUGGAUAGCGCAUAGCAGAGCUGCGCCUAAUACUCCGGCAACUCCCAUCAUAUGAAAUGGGUUCAACGUCCAAUUAUGAAAUCCUUGGAAGAAAAGGAUAAAUCGAAAUAUAGCUGCUACGCCAAAACUCGGCGCAAAGAACCAACUAGAUUGUCCCAGUGGAUAAAUAAGGAAUACGGAAACAAAAACUGCGAUUGGACCAGAGAAUGAAAUUGCAUUAUAAGGCCGCAAUUGAACAGACCGAGCAAGUUCAAAUUGACGUAACAUGAAACCUAUUAGUGCAAAAGCCCCAUGGAGAGCGACAAAAGUCCACAGACCACCUAAUUGACACCAACGAGUGAAAUCUCCUUGUGCUUCCGGGCCCCAUAGUAGCAACAAAGAGUGUGCUAAAAUAUUGGCAGGAGUGGAAACCGCCACGGUUAAGAAAUUGCAACCUUCCAAAUAGGAACUAGCCAAUCCAUGGGUAUACCAAGAAGAUACAAAAGUAGUCCCUGUAAAGCAACCCCCUAAAGCGAAAUAAGCACAAGGAAAGAGCAAUAGGCCGGACCAUCCUACAAAAACGAAAUGGUCACUUCGUAACCAGUCGUCCAUAAUAUCAAAUAGAUCAUUUUCUUCUUUAGUAACUCUACCAAGGGCUAUAGUCAUAGUGAUCCUCCUAUUCAAUUACUUCAACCAUUUUCGAGCACCUCAUAUUACUUCCAGGGCAUACGAUAGUUUGAUUAUCUGUGGACGAUUUCUUUCUCGUUCAAUGCCCUUUUUCAAUGGUCUCGAAGAUAGAAAUUUUGCAUUUUUAUCUAUGGGGUCACAACCAAGGUCGUGGUAAAUCCACAAAUUUCAUUCAAUUUAUUUUUCUUUUCUUAUACUAUAGAAAUAAAAAAAAUAAACAUUUGAAUUCAGCAUUAUUCCAUGAUUCCUAUUUCAAAUCCUAUCUUUUAAGGGAAAAAUAACCCCUCUUUUCUCAUUCGCUCUCUAUUGCAUGGGUGGAAGAACAAAAAUAGGAUUAUGAAAAAAAGAAAGAUAUUGAAAAGAUAAAUUGACUUUUGAAACCCUUUUUAUGUGUAACGGAAAAGAGUUGCGAUUUCUUCUUAUUCCUAUAGAACGUCUAGUAACAAGAAUAUGAAAUCGUAAAUAGCAAAAAAUUCUUGCCUUGCCCGAUCUAAGUCUAAGGAAAUACAAAAAACCCGCUUAUACACCAAUUUGAUCCACAUCGAAUUUAUAUAUCAGAAUAGCGGAUAGAGGCAUUAUUCAAGGGGUCAGGUCUACUUACUUUAUCUUUCUUUCUAAUUUUAUUGUGGGUUUGAUAAGAACCUUUUUUUGCUUUGUGGAUAAAUAAUCGAAAAAAGAGUUUUUUUUAUAACCUACUUGUUUUAUUCUAACAAAUCCUAUAUGGAACUGCCCGCUGAAGAGAAAAUUUAUGUGAUUGUCUGUCAUCUCAGCCCAGCCUAUAUCGAAUUUAGGAAAGAAAAAACAAGAAUUUUCUUCUUUUUUUAUUAACAUUAAGAAAAAAGAAUGUAAUUAAAAUGGAAUUGGCAUUAUAAUUUUUAUGCACUUUUGAAAUGAAAGAAAAAGGAAGGAUUUUUUGCAAUCGUUAUUUCUUGCCUCUGUCAUAUCACGAAAACCUUUCGAUUUGGAACGGGGAGAGAUGGCUGAGUGGACUAAAGCGGCGGAUUGCUAAUCUGUUGUACAAUUUUUUUGUACCGAGGGUUCGAAUCCCUCUCUUUCCUUCCCCUCGGAUCAUUUGGGACUUACGAAUUGUAAGGAAUUCUGACCCCCGGAUUUUCUCAUAGAUAAAUGUAUGAAAUAAAUCCAAUUUGUAAGAAAAAAUUCCCAAAAUUUUUGGAUUUUUACUCCUCACGCCCAGGAUUACGUCCUGGGUCAUUAGAUAAGAAUCCAAAGAUAAAGAGGGAAACAAAGAAUAUCACUACUGUAUAAACAAAAAGUUUGAGAGUAAGCAUUACAUAAUCUCCAAGAUUUUUUUGUUAAGGAACAGAUUACCCAUUUUUCCUUACCACAUAGAUCCACUAGGAUGGGUUUUGUUUAUUUUGACACCUAAAAAUGCAAAAAUCAAUUCUUAAAAAAAUUGCAAGAAUUGCUUUAUAAUAAGCACUCUUAUCAAUAUCAAAAAUUAGUUUAGGUAUUGUGUGGGUACCUAAAGGUACCUGUUCAACGCAGCCGCAGGGGAUAGAAAGGCGGAUCUAAAUUUAUUGCUGCAGCUAUACAUUCAAUGUAGAAGAAUUUUAAUUUUAGAAUCGAAGGUUCAUAAUAUAAGACUUCUUGGCUCUUAUCCAUUUUUUUUUUGAAUGAAUACAUUGGCAGACAGAGAUAGUAAAGAUUUCAUCGAAAACUUACAGCGGCUUGCCAAACAAACGCUAAUAGAAAAAAGAGUACAGCUAUGACAGGCAUAACAUCCACAAUUGGGUUAAGCUUCGGGUAAUUUGGUGAAGAAAAAGCUAGUCGGACAAAGAACAGGAUUAAAACAGAUACAGGUUAAACUAAGUAUAUUAGGCAUAACAAGCAUUUUGUUCUUGUAGAGUAGAUAAUUGGAUUUUGAUUGAGUUAUUUUUCUAAGGGAAAAAAGCAAAAGAAAGGGUGGAUUCAAUCCUUUUUUCUUCGGACUUUCCCAAACACAAAAUACCUCCUUGUAUUCGCAUUCUCAAAUGAGAAUGGAAGAAAUUUGACUUUCAUAUAAUAUCUUAAUAGAAUUCCAUGUAAUGAUCAAUGCAUUUUUUGGAUUCUAUAUUAUCCGCUGUAAGGAUCGAUGGACCAAGAGGGGGGGUGAAUUGGGCCUUUUUCAAUUUCUAAAGCAAAGUAAAGCAACCUUAACCUAUGCAAUGCUAGUAAGGCACCAAUUCACCAACCGGAUAACUUAGCUACCUACACAAGCUAGGAGAGAUAAAAAGAGAAGCAAAGCCUAGCAAGGUAGAGCAAAGAUAUGAUCUCUAAGUCAAGCACAUGAAUAAAUUGCAUGAAAGAAAAUGCUUGAAUAAAGAGAGUGGACAAAAAACGAUCGGAUUUUUCCCGUGGUAUCGAUGUGUUGGCACACACCCCUAAUCCACGUUGUGACACUCACAAAGAGUCUUAUCACCUCCCAAGUCACCGAGACGAGGGCGCUCACUAAGAGUCUCCGUUCACCAUCCCGGCGUGGUGGAGAUCAAGCCACGUACAAACUUCUUCUCCGGGCUCCCACAAUCCUUGGCAAGCUCCGCGAGAAACACCUCGAUCACCAAGAUCGCCUAGGUGAUGCCAAUCACCAAGAGUAACAAGCUAAGGCCUUCACUUGAGUAAGAACCGAUCACCAAGAACGGAUGCACACAAGCUUCUCUCUACUCAAGUCCUUAAUCUUGCUUCUUGAUUGAUUGAAUGAACAAGUAUGUGAAAUGAUGAAGCUCAAGGUGGCUCUUGACUAUAGUAUGAGUGUUUCGAUGUUGCCUGGUGUCAAGAGUAGCAAAAUGAUCCAUUGGAGGGGUAUAUAUAGGCAGCUCACACGAAUAGAGCCGUUGGAGAAAAGCUGCCAGAAAACUGCGUAGCGCCGGUUAAUCCGACGUACCUCCAAUAGUCAUCGUCGGUUUAACCGAUGAAUGUAAACUGCCCCUUCUGAAAACUAGCCGUUACAACUUGGGCAGAUUAACCGACUUAUCAUUGGUUUAACCGGUGAGUAUAGUUGUCCACUGAUCAACUGAAAACCAAGUCUCUGGACAACUGCACCGACGUUAACUCAAACCUGUCGUCGGUUUAACCGGUGUAUAGAGCUUGAAAUACCCUGGAAAAACCAACUCUGGACUAAUGCACCGACGUUAAAUUCAAACACGUCGGUUUAACCGGUGUAUUGACUUGUCCAGACUCUGGUGACUUCGUUUAACUGACGUAUAGAAAUUUGAGAUCGUCGGUUAAACCGGUGUUAAAGAUUUUUUCUGAUUUUGCCUUUUCUGAUUUGAGUCUUGAAUGAAAUCCAAAUAUUCUUGAGAUAUGAGUUGGAAACCACUUAUUUGAACUUCUAGAAACCUGAGUGACCAUUGUGUGCAUCCAUUUUCAAAUGACCAUGUCCAUGCUCAAGUUACUUAGCCUUAACCCCUCUUAAUAGUGCGAUCACUACAAUACUAUAAAACCUAUACUAACCUAAGUGUCCUUCUCAACCUUAUGACACUUAGGACUAGAAAGAUCCUUAGUCUUGACAUAUAAUUGAGUUGAAUGCCGAGAUCGCUUUUUUGAAUAACGAAAGUUAGGGGCCUCUUUUGACAUAUGACCAAAUGAGCGAUAAUGAUCUAUUAAGCUGCACAAACUCAUUAGUCACAAUAAUGGUUAUCAUUAAUCACCGAAACAUACCUUGAGGGCCUAGAUGCUUACAAUCUCCCCCUUUUUGGUGAUUGAUGAUAACACAAACAUAAAUAACGAGAGAGCGAGAAAGAUAAGGCAAGAAUAAACACAAGCAAACUCGGAAUCCAUAGAUAUGUCUCAAACCACAGCAUACUCAAGCGACAAAUGUACAUAUCCAUGAACUAACACCAAAUGUGAUACAAAACAUCAAAGUCUUGAUAACAUCAAAGUCCUGAUAACUAUGAGCUCUCUCUAACUCUACCCUCCCCCUGACUCCAACUCCCUCUCCCCCUUUGGCAUCAAAGCACAAAAAGAGGCGAGCUACUGAUCCGGCUGUCGCGGUACGGCGAGAAAACGGUCCGGGUCAUCGUCGUCGUCGUCGGACGGUGUAUCCUCGGUGACGGACGGGAGCUGCUGGUCAGAACUGCCUGCUGGAGCUGAACUGACUGGGGGUGUAGCUGUCGUCAAGGCUCUCGUGCUGGCACUGCCAGGAAGAGGGUCCAUGGAAGUAGUAACCGGCUCAGCAGAAGAUGUGUCAACAUCUGAAGUAGUAAGUGCUGAAGCUGCUGGCUGUGUCGACUGCUAAAGCAAGGAACCCUCUCCACCUCCCCCUGAAGGUAGUGGCUAUGGUACGACGGGGAGGGCGACUGUCUGCACUGCUGAAGGAGACUCCUGGAAGAGUGAAGUCGCUGGCAGUGGUGAGAAGAAUGGACGACCCGCAGACCCAAGUAGUGCGGACAUCGAGAACAUGGUCUCCGGUGUCGCUGAGGUAGCUGGAGCUGCAGUAGGGGCUGGAGCUGGUGUAACAGCAAGCGGAGGUGCUCCAACACCCUGAAGGCCUGGCUGUCCUGGCUGCUGCGGGGCGAGUCCGGUGUGAGAGUAAAGCUGUGAGAUCAUCCCGAACAUCGCCAUCAUGCCCUGCUGCAUCUGCUGGAACUGAGCGUCUAUCCUCUGAGAGACCUAUCAAUAAGCCCGACAAAACGCUCCUCGGUCGCAGCCCGCUCUCGGGCGGCCUCCCUCUGUAUAGCAGCAAGUUGAGCCUCAUGGGCUCUCCUGGCCUCCUCCUGUGCAAGCUAGUCCUCUCUCUGCUGAGUCACGAGCUGCUGUAGAAGUGCGGUGAGCUCAGACGGCUGAGACACCUGGGACUCAGAGACUGUAGCAGCAACGGCUGACUCUGGAGCUGGCUCUCUGGACCCCCCUGCCUCGUGGUCGUGACUAGCUGGGGCUGCUGCAGGGAAGUAGUCCUCGUCCUUGGAGGAGUCUGACUCAGGCUCAGACCAGUGUAUCUCAUCCUCUCCUCCGGGAAGCUGUGCCUCGGCGGCUAGCAGUGCAUCGUCCUCCUGUGCCACACGAGCCUGUGCCUCUGGUGACAACUGUGCCAUGGCAGCUCUAUCGGCCUAUCUGCCUCUCCUCCGGUCCUGUGGUGCUGUCGGACGGUAAACUAGGAACCAGGGAACCUCGUCCUGACGGUAGACUGCACUGACGGGUGACUCAGCUGGCACGAUCAUAGAACAGAUAUAGCUGAUCCAGUGAGCAUAUGGAAACUGACGCACAACACCCAUCCCAUCAGUGAUAACAUCCUCGAUCUCAGCCAAGAUGAAGUCAACUAUGUCAAACGGCUCGUGAGUGAGGAUGUGUAGAAGCAGGAGUUGCUGCAGUCCUGUGAAACCCUCUGGGUAGCCACUCCUCGGUAGCAAAGUCCUCCGGAGUGCCAUGUGAACUGCGUAUACCUCUGGGGUCAGCAAGCUGGGAACUCUGGUGUAGGAGGCAGGGAACGGCUGGCGGAAACACUGUGAGAUCGCCUCGUGAGAAGGUGCAAUCCCGCCAAUCAUGGCUCUGCGCGGUGGAUCUGCAUCUCCGUAAACCAUCUCGUGCUGGGAGACGUCAACCAAGUCAACUCCGAGAAUCCCUGCUAAUGUAGCCUUGGACAGACCAAAGACCUGGCCUCCAAACAUAAAGUGUACUGCUCUACGCUCUGGGGCUAUCCAGGCUGUGGCAUAGAAAACUCUGACCCAGUCCUCGAUGUAUCUGUUUCGCUCAAUCUGGAGUAACUUGGGCAGGCCCCUGAAGUGAGCGAAGUGCUCUCUGACGUCUGCUCCCCCUGCGGCUGUCCUCAAAGACACCCAGUCAAGCACUCUGUGCGGGAAGAUCCUGUGGCCCCACCUCUGGUAGGUCUCGUAGAAACUGGCCUGAAGAAGCGUCCAGAACCUACGGUCGACCCUGCUGUCACGUGUCACGGGGAACCAGUCCUCCUCCUGAACACUCCACCUGAGCCUCUUGACCUUCGCCGCAUUGGCCUUGGUCAAGUUCUGGAGCAGCACACCUGGCUCCAGACGCACAACAGUGUCCAUGCGGAACACUGCGCGCUCGGUCUCUAGGGCCUCGGCUCUACGAGCUGCUGCUGCUGCGGACCUGCGAGGCUCCUGUGGCUGGUGACCUCCUCGCGUCCUCGGUCCAGUGCGACGCUCGGUCGCUGGCGAAGUGUCUCCUGCUAGGGACGUCUGCCGAAUGCGGCCAGAACGUCGUAGAGUCGGUGACUCCUAUGUGCCCUGCCCCUGCGACUGCUCAGACUGUUCUGCCUCUGUAUCUGUAUCUGACUCUGCAGCUGAAAGUGAACGAUCUGACUCUGCUGCUGCUGCCUCAGUUGUGGCUCUGGUGGCCCUGGCACCUCUGACUCUGCCCAUACCUCGACCUCUGCCCCUGCCCCUGGCUGGCGUAUCCCUAAUCGCGAACGGGCGAGCACGGCCUGAUGCCUGCUCCUCGGCAGCCUUGGCCACCAUCUCGGCCCUCUCGGCCUCUCUCUCUGCACGAGUCCGCUUGCGAGCGGGCUUCUCGACCACAACCUCCUUCCCCUUCCUCUUCUCACAACCCAUCACGCUCUGCGUGUUGGUGACGACAAUGGCGCAGAAGGCGCAGGCGGCGGCGGCGCGGUGGCGGCUGGGCGCGCGGAGCAACGCAGAAGGUGGCGGCGCGGUGGCGGUUUCACGCAGGCGGGUGUGCGCGCGGGGCGGCGCAGAAGGCGGCGGCGCGCGGGCGGUUGAGAGCAGGCAGCACACGGCGGUGCGCACGGGCGGCACAAGGCGGCGCGGGGCGUAGGCGGCGACGAAGGCGAGGGCGGCGACCAAAGCGCAGGCGGCGACGAAGGCGAGGGCGGCGACGAAGGCGAGGGGGCGGCAGAAGGCGAAGAUGAGCGGGCGGUUGCGAGCGGGCAAGAGAGUUAUAUGACAGGUGGACCCCGCGGAUUUUCUUUUCGCCAGUUGAUCCGAUGCUUAGGGUUCGAACGCCGGUUGAUUGCGUCGGUGUAGUUUACCCGAGACUCCACCAAAUCUGCAUCUGAACGCCGGUUGAACCGAUGAUCCGAUAAAUGAACUCGCCGGUUGAACGACACAAACGCCGGUUGAUUACUGGGUCAGAUCUGUGAUACGUUCACCGGUUGAUCUGAUGCUCCGUAAUUUGUAUACACCGGUUGAACUCCUGGAUUGACUGAGUUGAAGCUGAAACUUAGUAACGCCGGUUAAACCGAUGGGUAAAGAUCCAUUGAGCGUCGGUUUAACCGGUGAAGCCAAAAACCCUCACUCAGCUCACUCUUCUAUGCUAAGUCCAAUAAACUUAUAAAAUUCGAAUUAACUCAAGUUAAUGGACUUGCAUAGGCGACUUUACCCCUCAAAGCAAAUAGGAUAGCUCACUAGCUUAGAUAAUUUUUCUUUUCAAACACAAGGAAAAGCCGCAAGAGAGACAAAACGCCAAAUAAAAUGUAUGAGCCAUGUCAUAGGAAUAUUGAAGAAGGAAAGCUUCAAACUCAUCAUGACAUUGCUCACUAGGCAAUAGCGCACCUAACACUUUACUCUUUUCACUUUUCAUGAAUUAAGAUCUUGUAUAUGAAGCAAGUCUCAUUUUCAUCAAGUGAUCUCCUUUGUGACCCUUACGCAUGCAAUGAUAGUGCAAGCUACAACCACAUGCGGAAGUAAGGCAAACAUGAAGUGCACAUCUAUAUGACAAGAAAUGCAUAGCAAGAAUUUAAAUUCUACUUGUCAAGUUUGAACCCACGGGAAGCUUCUUCAUGAUGAGCCUUUCUACAAGCCUAGAGGAAAACAAGUGGACCACCACCUCUAGCUAUACCCUUGCUCAUCACUAUCUUACCAUGGUUAGACAAGUGUCCUGUAUGUAUGCAUUUUUCUAUAUGACAUGGCAACUUACAUGACGUUUGCCGCAUCUAACACAUUAAGCUCAUUCCUUAGCCUAACAAAAGUACUCUCGUCUAAAGGUUUUGUGAAAAUAUCCGCCAAUUGCUCCUCGGAUCUCACACCUUGAAGGAAAUGUCCCCCUUGGCUUCGUGAUCACGCAAGAAGUGAUGGCGAAUAUCAAUGUGCUUUGUGCGAGAGUGUUGAACCGGAUUCUUGGCAAUUUUUACGGCACUUUCAUUGUCACAAAGGAGUGGUAUCCUAUCUAGUUUCACACCAAAGUGCAAAAGGGUUUGCUUCAUAUAUAGGAUUUGGGCACAACAUGCACCGGCCGCUAUAUAUUCCGCUUCCGCGGUGGACAAAGCCACAGAAUUUUGCUUCUUACUCGACCAAGAAACUAGAGAACGCCCAAGCAAGUGGCAACCCCCAGAGGUACUCUUGCGAUCCACACGGUUUCCGGCAAAAUCCGAAUCCGAGUAUCCCAAGAGAUCUAAGCUAGCGCCUUUGGGGUACCACAAGCCUAUGCUAGGGGUGUGCUUGAGAUACCGAAGGAUCCUAUUCACAGCCGAAAGAUGUGAUUCCUUUGGGUUAGCUUGAAAGCGGGCACACAAGCACACACUAAACAUUAUAUCGGGCCUAGAUGCGGUAAGGUAAAGCAAAGACCCUAUCAUAGAACGAUAGAGGGAUUGAUCAACCGGUUUACCAUCCACAUCCAAGUCGAGAUGCCCAUUGGUUGCCAUGGGUGUCUUGAUGGGCUUGCACUCAUCCAUCUUGAACUUCUUCAAGAUAUCUUUAGUAUACUUUUCUUGAUGGAUGAAUGUCCCUUCCUUCAUUUGUUUGACUUGAAAACCAAGGAAGAAGGUCAAUUCGCCAAUCAUGGACAUCUCAAAUUCCCUAGACAUCAUGGUGGCAAACUCAUGGCUUAGUAAAUCAUUAGUUGAGCCAAAGAUAAUAUCGUCAACAUAAAUUUGACAAAUGAAAAGAUCCCUGUUGACGUCUUUUGUGAACAAAGUGGUGUCCAUCCUCCCGAUCUUGAAGCCUUGCAUGAUUAGGAAGUCACGAAGCCUCUCAUACCAAGCCCUUGGAGCUUGUUUGAGCCCAUAGAGUGCCUUGUGCAACCUAUAAACAUGGUUAGGAUUCCUCGGAUCUUCAAACCCGGGAGGUUGCUCAACAUAAACAAGUUCGUUGAUAACGCCAUUUAAGAAUGCACUUUUCACAUCCAUUUGAUAUAACUUAAUGUUAUGAUGUGAAGAGUAAGCAAGAAGUAUACGGAUAGCUUCAAGUCUUCUGGCCGGAGCAAAAGUUUCACCAAAAUCCAAACCUUCGACUUGAGAAAACCCUUUUGCCACAAGUCUUGCUUUGUUGCGUACCACCACCCCAUGUUCAUCUUGCUUGUUUUGAAAGACCCACUUUGUGCCGAUGAUGUUCUUGUCUUUCGGAGGAGCUUCGAGGACCCAAACUUCAUUGCGGGUGAAAUUGUUCAAUUCUUCUUGCAUGGCCAUCACCCAAUCCGAGUCCUCAAGCGCUUCCUCUAUGCUAGUGGGUUCAAUAUAAGAAACAAAAGAGUGAUGUUCGCAAAAUGAAGCAUGCUUAGAGCGAGUUCUUACUCCUUUGGAAGGACUACCAAUGAUUUGAUCAAUUGGAUGAUCCUUGGAGAUGCGAGCAUGCUUCACUAGCGGUACUUGCGUGGAUGCUUGUUGGGGUGGAUCAUGGGUGACUUGUGCUUGUGGUGGAACAUUUUGCUCUUCUUGUUCUUGGACUUGGGGUGUUGGCGUUGACACAUUUUCUUGAGGUAGUGGAUCAUCUUUUUCUUGAUCUUCAUCCACUUGGGGUGCCGUGGAGGUGCUUGGUGUAGAUGAGGAAGAUCCUCCCCCUUGAUCAUUGCCUUCAUGCACCUCUUCCGGCUUGAUAUCCCCAAUGGACAUAUUCUUCAAGGCUUCAUCAAUCUCUUCACCACCUACAUUUUCAUAGCCAACAACCUCCUCUUGGGAGCCAUUAGAUUCAUCAAACUCCACAUCACAUGUUUCUUCAACUAACCCGGAGGUUUGAUUGAAUACUCUAUAUGCUUUGGAGUUUGAUGCAUAACCAAGAAAGAAACCUUCAUCACAUCUACUCUCAAACUUACCGAGCUUUUUCUUCUUAUAGAUGAAGCAUUUGCAACCAAAGACUCGAAAGUAGGAUAUAUUUGGUUUUCUCCCAGUGAUGAGCUCAUAUGGAGUUUUCUUGAGGAGUCGGUGAGGAUACACUCUGUUGGAUGCAUGACACGCCGUGUUGAUUGCUUCCGCCCAAAACUUCUUGGACGUGCCAUAAUCAUCCAACAUUGCUCUUGCUAGGGUGAUGAGUGUCUUGUUCUUUCUUUCCACCACUCAUUUUGUUGAGGCGUGUAGGUGGCGGAAAACUCAUGCUUGACUCCUUCAUCGCACCAUUCUUCAAUCUUCAUAUUCUUGAACUCGGUGCCGUUGUCACUCCGGAUCUUCACAAUUGGGGAGUUGUACUCCCUUUGAGCUUUUCUAGCAAAUGUCUUGAAGAUCUCCGGAGUUUCACCCUUAUCGCCUAGAAACAUGACCCAAGUGUAGCGUGAAAAAUCAUCAACGAUUACUAGGCAAUAGAGGUUACCACCAAUGCUCUUGUAUGUAGUUGGACCAAAGAGAUCCAUGUGUAGUAGCUCGAGCGGCUUGGAGGUAGACAACAUUGUCUUGAUGGGAUGAUGUGUUGCAACUUGCUUCCCAGCUUGACAUGCUUUGCAUAACUUGUUCUUGUCAAAAGUGAUGUCCUUCAAGCCGGUGAUCAUCCCUCUCUUGUGGGCUUUCUUGAGGUUGCUCAUGCCAAUAUGAGCAAUUCUUCUAUGCCAAAGCCACCCAAGAGACGACUUGGUGAAGAGGCAUGUCAUGGUGCUUAUUUGCUUUGAAGAGAAAUCUACUAAAUAGAUGUUGCCAUGCCUAAACCCCGUGAAUACCAAUGACUUGUCUUUUUCAUGAGUUACUACAACACCAUUCUUGUCAAAGGCACACGUUAGUCCAAGAUCACAUAAUUGAGCAAUAGAAAUAAGAUUAAAACUAAGUGCUUCUACAAACAAGAUAUUUGAAAUGGAUAAAUCUUUUGAAAUUGCUAUUCUACCCAAACCUAAGACUUUCCCCCUUGAGUUAUCACCAUAGGUGACAUGUUCAUGAUCGCCGGGGUCUUCAAGAGAGGUGAACAUGCUAUCAUUGCCGGUCAUGUGUUGAGAGCAACCGCUAUCAAGUACCCAAUGUUUUCCACCGGCUUUGUAGUUCACCUACACACAUGAGAAUUCACUUUUAAGUUUUAGGAACCCAAACAAGCUUUGGGCCUUGCACAUGUGUGACAAGAGCUUUUGGGACCCAAAUUUGCUUGGGGAGCUUCUUCUUUGACUCCUUAGCAAUUUUGCCAAUGAACUUGGCCUUCACCUUGCCCUUCACUUUACUCAAGAGAAAAUGGUUAUUUUGAAACAUUGAUGAGUAAUUCUUGGGUAAAUUAGGAAGAGGACGUGAUGGUAAAGUGCACCCCCUAGUGUGGUGCCCGGUGACUUGGCAAUGUUGGCAAUAUGAACCAACUUCCUUGAUGAAGCUAAUCGUGAUCUCCGGAGAACGAGUAGUAGCCAUGUUUAGCUCCGGAAAUGAACCAAGACCUCUCUUCCCAUAGUCACGAGCAUUGUUGAAGAGAAUCUCCUUGUGGAUGUAUUCUCCUCUUGAGAGUUUCUCCACACUACUCUUGAGGCUUGCCACUUGAUCCAUCAAUUCCUUUUCCCUAGAAGGAGCAAGCUCGGGCACAAUAUUAGUGGCAUUAGCAUUAAUGAGUAGGUCAUCACAUGAAGUAGAAGCAUUGACCUUUUCAAAAGUUUCAUGAGCAAAUUUCUCAAGACUUGGGUCAAUUGCUUCAUAGGCAAAUUCAAGUUCUUGAUACUUGUGAGCCAACUCCCUAUGCUCUUGUUUGAGCCUUUUGUGGCUCUCUUCAACUUGCUUAGCAAGUACAAGUGACUCAUUGUGCUUUUUGAGUAAGUCAUUGUGCUUACCAAGCAAGUCGGAGUGGGCAAGCUCUAACUUGGCAUGAGUGCUCUCAAGAAUUUUAACUUUGCCCUUUUCCCUCUUGAUGACGGAUGUAUACUCAUUAAUGAGGUUAGUGAAUUCAUUAGGAUCAAACUCUUCAUCACUAUCAUCUUCACUAUCUACCUCACAUACCUUGGUGUUACCUUUUGCCAUGAGGCACAUAGGAGGCAGAGGUAGUGGUGGUUCUUCAUUGGUGAGGGCGAUGGUGACGAUGUCUUCUUCAUCACUUGAAUCUUCGCUUGAUGAGACAUCGGUCACCCACUCUUGUUUUUCCACCAAGAAGCUUUUCUUGGUGUGCCCUUUCUUCUUUGGAAAGAGCUUGGUCUUCUUGUCAUGGGUCUUCUUCUUCCCAAGUCUCUUGUUUUUGUUCUUCCUUUCUUCUUCAUCAUCAUCGCUUGAAUCAUGGCGAUGCUUGCUCUUGUUAUCCUUGUUUCUUUUGUUCGGCUUGGGGCAAUUUGGACGGAUGUGACCUUUUUCUCCACAAUUGUAGCAAAUUUUGUUCUUGACAUCCAUUGGUCGGAACAUUCCCUUUUUAGAGUCAAAGUUGAAACCCUUCUUAUUGAUCUUGUCAUUCAAGCGUGUGAACUUUCUCAUCAUGAGAGCAAGUUCUCCAUCAUCUUCAACAUCGGAUGAGCUUUCAUGAUGAUCAUUUUCUUCAUUGCUUGAGCUUGAAUCUUGCUUGAUCAUCUUGAGCUUGCAGGAUUUGUUUAUCUUGGUCUUUAGAGCAAUUGAUUUGCUUGAAUUGGCUCUUCGGACAUACCAAGAAUACUCAUUUCAUGAGCACGAAUUUCCCCCACAAGUUCUCCCACUUCCAUUGUGUCAAGAUUCUCUUUUUGAAGCAUAGCAUUGAUGAUGUUAUACUUGGGCUUCGGGAGGAGCAUGAGAAUCUUGCGAUUUAUGGAGGCACUGUCAAUUUUGGAUAUUUUAAGUGCAUUAGUGUCCUUGACAAUGACAUUCAAGUGAGAAUACAUAUCAUUGCAAUUUUCAUGAGCUAGCAUUUUAAAGGAAUCAUACUUAGCUCUAAACAAGUGAUAUUUUUGCUCACGAACUUUAGUGGAACCUUCAUGAAUUUCAAUGAGCUCCUUCCAAAUAUCACUUGCUAAGUCCAUGCCAUUAACUCUAGCAAAGACUUCCUCACUAAUGGCUUCGAAAAUUGCAUUUCUAGCCUUGGCAUUCCAUUUUAAUUGUUCAGUGGUGGGAGUUUCGGUGAACCCGGUCUUAGUUGCCAACCACACUUCGGGGGCAAUCGCAUCAAGGUAUGCGGCCAUGCGAACUUUCUAAUAAGCAAAGUUCUUGCCCUCGAAGUGAGGCGGCGAACCACCCAUCUUGGCCAUAGCUCUAGACGGUGAAGCCUAAUGAUCCAAAUGAGCAACGAGGUUCUGAUACCAAUUGUAAGGAUCGAUGGACCAAGAGGGGGGUGAAUUGGGCCUUUUUCAAUUUCUAAAGCAAAGUAAAGCAACCUUAACCUAUGCAAUGCUAGUAAGGCACCAAUUCACCAACCGGAUAACUUAGCUACCUACACAAGCUAGGAGAGAUAAAAAGAGAAGUAAAGCCUAGCAAGGUAGAGCAAAGAUAUGAUCUCUAAGUCAAGCACAUGAAUAAAUUGCAUGAAAGAAAAUGCUUGAAUAAAGAGAGUGGACAAAAAACGACCGGAUUUUUCCCAUGGUAUCGAUGUGUUGGCACACACCCCUAAUCCACGUUGUGACACUCACAAAGAGUCUUGUCACCUCCCAAGUCACCGAGACGAGGGCGCUCACUAAGAGUCUCCGUUCACCAUCCCGGCGUGGUGGAGAUCAAGCCACGUACAAACUUCUUCUCCGGGCUCCCACAAUCCUUGGCAAGCUCCGCGAGAAACACCUCGAUCACCAAGAUCGCCUAGGUGAUGCCAAUCACCAAGAGUAACAAGCUAAGGCCUUCACUUGAGCAAGAACCGAUCACCAAGAACGGAUGCACACAAGCUUCUCUCUACUCAAGUCCUUAAUCUUGCUUCUUGAUUGAUUGAAUGAACAAGUAUGUGAAAUGAUGAAGCUCAAGGUGGCUCUUGACUAUAGUAUGAGUGUUUCGAUGUUGCCUGGUGUCAAGAGUAGCAAAAUGACCCAUUGGAGGGGUAUAUAUAGGCAGCUCACACGAAUAGAGCCGUUGGAGAAAAGCUGCCAGAAAACUGCGUAGCGCCGGUUAAUCCGACGUACCUCCAAUAGUCAUCGUCGGUUUAACCGAUGAAUGUAAACUGCCCCUUCUGAAAACUAGCCGUUACAACUUGGGCAGAUUAACCGACUUAUCAUCGGUUUAACCGGUGAGUGUAGUUGUCCACUGAUCAACUGAAAACCAAGUCUUUGGACAACUGCACCGACGUUAACUCAAACCUGUCGUCGGUUUAACCGGUGUAUAGAGCUUGAAAUACCCUGGAAAAACCAACUCUGGACUAAUGCACCGACGUUAAAUUCAAACACGUCGGUUUAACCGGUGUAUUGACUUGUCCAGACUUUGGUGACUUCGUUUAACCGACGUAUAGAAAUUUGAGAUCGUCGGUUAAACCGGUGUUAAAGAUUUUUUCUGAUUUUGCCUUUUCUGAUUUGAGUCUUGAAUGAAAUCCAAAUAUUCUUGAGAUAUGAGUUGGAAACCGCUUAUUUGAACUUCUAGAAACCUGAGUGACCAUUGUGUGCAUCCAUUUUCAAAUGACCAUGUCCAUGCUCAAGUUACUUAGCCUUAACCCCUCUUAAUAGUGCGAUCACUACAAAACUAUAAAACCUAUACUAACCUAAGUGUCCUUCUCAAACUUAUGACACUUAGGACUAGAAAGAUCCUUAGUCUUGACAUAUAAUUGAGUUGAAUGCCGAGAUCGCUUUUUUGAAUAACGAAAGUUAGGGGCCUCUUUUGACAUAUGACCAAAUGAGCGAUAAUGAUCUAUUAAGCUGCACAAACUCAUUAGUCACAAUAAUGGUUGUCAUUAAUCACCGAAACAUACCUUGAGGGCCUAGAUGCUUACAUCCGCAUGUCUAGAAUCCUAGCAAGAAAAUAUCCCUCAUUUUUUAGGUAAUUGAAGUGGGAUUGACGAAUAUUAUGUAAAAAAUAAUACUGUUUAUUAGUGUCGCAUAAAACAAAAUGGGGCGUAGCCAAGUGGUAAGGCAGCGGGUUUUGAUCCCGUUACUUGGAGGUUCGAAUCCUUCCGUCCCAGAUUUUUUCUAAUGAAGCGAAAGAUAGAAUCAUAUUGUGCUCUGCACAACACAAAAAAAAGUUUAUUAAAGAGAAUAUUAUCUCUUAUGAACUCAUAGAUUAGAUGGAUUUCGAAGCAUUCAUUUUCUUUCUCAGAAAAAAAUCAAGUGUCAAGUCCAGUCAAAUUUAAUAUCUUUAUUUUCUUGAUUAAUAAGGUAAAACGCUGUAUAGAAAAUGAGACCUAUCCCUUUAUGAUCGAGAUCUAUUUUUGUUUUGUUGUAUUAUUAGUAGAAAAGAAGGGUCCUUCUUUGGUUAAGCAAAAAUGAUCUCGAUCUGUGAUUCUUUAAAUAUCCAGAAUGAUUCAUUUCGGUAAGGUUAAGGUAAGAACUAUUCGUUGGAUAGAAUGGAUUAAAAAAAAUAGUACUUUUCUUAUUUUUUAUUUUUAGUUCUUUCUUUUACCUAUUUUAGUUUUUUCUUUUACCUAAAAGAAAGAAUGCUAUAAGUAAAAGCAAAGACCUUAAUUUUACUUUACAAAAAAAAAUUCUUUCUUUUGUUAUUCGAGUUGAAGAAGUGUGAGAAUUUUAUAACUACCCCAAAACUACCAAUCUUUUCAUUGACAUAGCUUAUUCGGUUAAUAGUUAAUUGUUUUUGUUAUAGAAAAAUAUAUGAAUUAAUUAAAUUAAUUCAACUGGAGUUUGUGUAACAUCCCAGUUUUCAUCACUAUUGAAAGAAAUGCAAAACAACCCUCUAGUUCCUUCUCCACUAAGCAAGAGUGGGAUAUUUUCAAGGCAACCCUCUAGUUCCUUCUCCACUAAGUAAGAGUGGGAUAUUUUCUAUGGAAUACUCUAGAAUUAGUAAUAAGUAAAAUUUUGAAAAUGCUAGGAUAUUUUGGAAUUCUCUAGAAGGGGGACACUUGUCCUAAAACCAUGGCUUCCCUUGACCUAUAAAAAGAGCCCCCCCCUUUGCCAUGGCAUCCACCCAUGAGCAAGGUAGAUAAGUUGUGGUAAGGCUAGGAGGGUGAGUGCUGGACUAGCCACUUAAAGGUGUGUGUUCCUUCGUGACUUUGUCGCUCCAAUAAGUUAAGUGUUAGUCUCCUGGUUCAACUUGAGUACUUAGUAUAUAGGUUGUGAUUCAUCUGUUGGUAGGCUCCACCUCGCCAUAAAUCGGGGUCGUCGCACACAAUGCCGGCCGAGAUAUUUUUCCCGCCGCGCAAACUGCCUCACCUCAUUUAUAAAGGAAGCCGACGCACCUCCCUGCCGUCCCCACCCGCGCUCGCUUUCGCUCGCGCACGCGCGACACGCCGGCCCCACGACGGGACCGCACACUGCCGUCGGCACCGCGCCGUGCCGCCCACCUCCGCGUCCCCACCCUGCCCACGCCGCUGCAGCGUCCUCGCCGGCUUUGCCGCCUCGACGCUCGCGCCUUCAGCGCUGCCACUGUUUGAGUUGACGGCGAGCUACCGCAGCCCACACCGUCGCCCGUCCCUGUGCGAUGCCGCUGCUGCUCUCCUCGCCUAUAAAAGGAGCGAGGCCGUGAUGAACUCCAUUAUCAGCCCAAGCACACCGAACCGCUUCACUACGCUAGCUGAACCACUUCUCCCGAGCCCAGUUCACUCACGAGACAAAGCUCCAACAAUUGACCCUUUUCCUCGAGCUGUUCCACGCCAAGGUGAGAUGGCAAGCAGCUCCCCGACCAUUACCUCCGCAAUACUAAUAAAGGCCCAAAACACCCACCACGCCGUGAGCACCUAAUCCAAAUCAUUCUAUUUAAACACCAACCAAUAUUGUAAACCCAAAUCUCCUUCGUAUCAACUCCUUUUCACAUAACUCUUUUUCCUAAACUCUCCUCAAAUCAUAUACUAUCUAUUCCUCCUAUUUCAUCUCCAUUUGAGCUUAUUUUAUAGCUUGCUUGUGUUUGUUUGCCGGUUGUGCUGUUUCCGCCCGUAGAUCACGGAGUGACCGAGGAGGAGCCGGCCAAGGAGUAUGAAGGCCAGUACAGCGGGCCGGAGCCAGAAGACCCGUACCGCGAGCACGAAGCCGCCGCCGACGACGCGUACGUAAGCGAAGGCAAGUUUCAUUGACCCCUACGUGAGCGGUUGCAUCCAUGUGAGGACGUCUAGUUGUAGCCCUGGUUUAGGAUCGAUUACAUAUAUCGGUGCUUGAGUGAUUGAGUGUGCUCAUACAUGCAUAUGAGUAGUUAUGCAUAUCCAGAGUUGAGACAAGGAUAUGAAGGGAUUUGGCUGAGGCUAGGGCACCUGGGUAUGCUGGAGCCGGCGCUACCGUGGUGGUAGACUGGCAGGUGAGUGCUACCGUGGAGGUAGGCUCGAGUUAACAUGUUGAGGGAUGGUUGCUGCCCUGGUGAACCAUAAGGACCGAGUUGUUUUGACAUCUCACCUAGCUUACUUUAGUACGACCACAGGUUCCGUUAUGGGCCGGACUUAGCCUAAUCCCACUGUUUAGCCUGACGGUCGCAGGGAUGGUUCACGGGUAUAGACCAUUGGGGUCAGGGCCCGAGGGUUUGUGCGGCCGGGCUGGGGGCGUGACCAUGGCUGGGUGUCGGCUAUGUCGGUUGUCCGUUCGGGCAGUCGAGAUUGUGGGUACAGUGUACGACCUCUGCAGAGUGUAUAAUCCAUUCGAAUGGUCCGUGUCCACGGAAUGGACAGGCUACGGUGUGGUCCUGACAACUAGUGAGCUACCUACUGUGGGAUGUGUCGGGAAGAGUUGCAUACCAUAAGUUGCAUUACUAAUGCAUUGUGCUUAAUGUGCGUCGUGCAUGUCAUUCCCCUCCCGUAGGGUAAGGUGGAACUUGCUGAGUACUUUUGUACUCACCCGUUUAUGACUUAUUGCAGAGGAUCCUGAUUUCGUGCCUGAAGAAUGUGAGUAGUUCGUGUCCUAUACCUAAGUCUGGAGUGGUGCCGUUGCAGUAGAAGCCACCAUGUCAGAUGUAGAGUUUACCCUUGCGUUUAUCACGGCUACUGUUGUAUUCCUAGUUUAUAUUAUUAUUGUAAUCGAACGUAUUAAAUAAAGCUAUGUAUGACUGUGGCACCACUUGUGUAAUGUAUUUUCACCAGAGACUGUUUUUCUAGAGUUUAAAUACAUGUUUAGCUCCGGUUGUUUAGACCGGGGGCGUUUCAAGUGGUAUCAGAGCCAUGCUUGGCUGUAGGACACGAACAGGUAGUAACGGUGACCGUAGGAGCCCUAGGAUGGUCAAUCCUUGAAACGCUAUUACUCCUUAAAAUUUUAUCCUUAUUAUGCUAACCCUACCUUUGUAAGUUAGAUGGCGGAUGACUGGACCACCACCUACUGCAUCAACGAAGAUGGAUUCCCCAGGG
Molecule: long non-coding RNA, 38681 nt
Filed under: Panicum hallii
Lineage: Eukaryota; Viridiplantae; Streptophyta; Magnoliopsida; Poales; Poaceae
Source: RNAcentral